RNAcentral lists this ribosomal RNA (468 nucleotides) under uncultured bacterium. RNAcentral's name for it is "partial 16S ribosomal RNA". It matches the Rfam family "Bacterial small subunit ribosomal RNA", at positions 28 to 507 of the family's 1533-position model. The record is from RNAcentral.
GACGAACGCUGGCGGCGUGCUUAACACAUGCAAGUCGAACGGAAAGGCCCUGCUUUUUGGGGGUGCGCGAGUGGCGGACGGGUGAGUAACCCGUGAGUACCCUGUCCUUGACUGUGGGGUGACUUCAUGAAACUUGGGCUCAUACCGGAUAGGAGCUCCUGCUGCAUGGUGGGGGUUGGAUAGUUUCGGCGGUUGGGGAUGGACUGGCGGCUUAUCAGCUUGUUGGUUGGGUAGUGGCUUACCAUGGCUUUGCCGGGUAGCCGGCCUGGGAGGGUGACCGGCCCCAUUGGGACUGAGAUACGGCCCAGACUCCUACGGGAGGCAGCAGUGGGGAAUAUUGCACAAUGGGAGGAGGGCUGAUCUAGCACCGCCGCGUGGGGGAUGACGGCAUUCGGGUUGUAAACCGCUGCCGCCUGUGACGAAGCGUGAGUGACGGUACUGGGUAAAGAAGCACCGGCUAACUACGUG